This 389-nucleotide unclassified non-coding RNA is filed under the name uncultured fungus. RNAcentral describes it as "partial contains small subunit ribosomal RNA, internal transcribed spacer 1, and 5.8S ribosomal RNA". The stretch from base 1 to 73 matches the Rfam family "Eukaryotic small subunit ribosomal RNA", at positions 1759 to 1831 of the family's 1831-position model. The record is from RNAcentral. Lineage: Eukaryota; Fungi.
GCAAACUUGGUCAUUUAGAGGAAGUAAAAGUCGUAACAAGGUUUCCGUAGGUGAACCUGCGGAAGGAUCAUUAUUGAAUAAACUUGGUGGGUUGUCGCUGGCUCUGCGGAGCAUGUGCACGCCUGCUAACUUUAUCCAUCCACCUGUGCACCCUCUGUAGUCUUGGAAGGGAUGAGACUGGCUUACCCUCGAUAGGUUUUCUAAACCUUUCGGAUGCAAGGACUGCUUUGAAUAGCUUUCCUCGAAAGCCUAUUAUCACUUUUGAGAUUAUGUUUUUCAUAUACCACGUCGUAUGAUGCAGAAUGUAUUCUAAUGGGUCUUUGUGCCUAUAUAACAAUACAACUUUCAGCAACGGAUCUCUUGGCUCUCGCAUCGAUGAAGAACGCAGC